RNAcentral lists this ribosomal RNA (253 nucleotides) under uncultured bacterium. RNAcentral's name for it is "partial 16S ribosomal RNA". It matches the Rfam family "Bacterial small subunit ribosomal RNA", at positions 524 to 776 of the family's 1533-position model. The record is from RNAcentral.
UACGUAGGGUGCAAGCGUUGUCCGGAUUUAUUGGGCGUAAAGAGCGUGUAGGCGGCCAUACAGGUCAGCUGUGAAAACUCGAGGCUCAACCUCGAGACGUCGGUUGAAACCGUAUGGCUAGAGUCCGGAAGAGGAGAGUGGAAUUCCCGGUGUAGCGGUGAAAUGCGCAGAUAUCGGGAGGAACACCGAUUGCGAAGGCAGCUCGCUGGAACGUUACUGACGCUGAGACGCGAAAGCGUGGGGAGCAAACAGG